CCUACGGGUGGCAGCAGUCGAGAAUUUUUGACAAUGGGGGAAACCCUGAUCGAGCGACGCCGCGUGGAGGAUGAAGGUCUUCGGGUUGUAAACUCCUGUCAUUUGGGAACUAGUACCAGAAGAGGAAGGGACGGCUAACUCUGUGCCAGCAGCCGCGGUAAUACAGAGGGCCCAAGCGUUGUUCGGAUUCAUUGGGCGUAAAGGGUGUGUAGGUGGCGCCGUAAGUCGGGUGUGAAAUCUCGGGGCUUAACCCCGAAACUGCAUUCGAUACUGCGGUGCUUGAGGACUGGAGAGGAGACUGGAAUUCAUGGUGUAGCAGUGAAAUGCGUAGAGAUCAUGAGGAAGACCAGUGGCGAAGGCGGGUCUCUGGACAGUCCUGACACUGAGACACGAAGGCCAGGGGAGCAAACGGGAUUAGAUACCCCGGUAGUC
This 432-nucleotide ribosomal RNA is filed under the name uncultured bacterium. RNAcentral's name for it is "partial 16S ribosomal RNA". It matches the Rfam family "Bacterial small subunit ribosomal RNA", at positions 338 to 795 of the family's 1533-position model. The record is from RNAcentral.